UACGUAGGGAGCAAGCGUUGUCCGGAAUCAUUGGGCGUAAAGCGCGCGUAGGUGGCUUCAUAAGUCCGUUGUGAAAGUCAAAGGCUCAACCUUUGAAAGCCGAUGGAUACUGUGAAGCUAGAGUACGGAAGAGGCGAGUGGAAUUCCUGGUGUAGCGGUGGAAUGCGCAGAUAUUGGGAGGAACAUCGGUGGCGAAGGCGGCUACCUGGACGGGUACUGACGCUGAGGCGCGAAAGCUAGGGGAGCAAACAGG
Molecule: ribosomal RNA, 253 nt
Filed under: uncultured bacterium
Lineage: Bacteria
Description: partial 16S ribosomal RNA
Rfam family: Bacterial small subunit ribosomal RNA
Source: RNAcentral